GUGAGGUCAUCCUAGAUCAUGGUGGGCCACCUUGAUUGGAUGAAGGAAAAAGAGAAAAAAAAAAAGGGAAAAGAAAAAGAAAUGGCCCCCCUUCUUCUCUCUCCUCCCUCUCUUCUUCCUCUCUACCGUGCGACUCCUCCAUCUCCAUCUUCUUCAUCUCCUUCUUCUUUGAAAACCCAGCAACCAGCGAAGCCGGAGAAGCCGCCGGACCUCACGCCUUUGCCCGUUAGCUCGUCGUCGCCGCCGCCCUGUGCCGCCCGCGCUCGUUUACCGGUCAGCUCCCCUCCCCGUUCCGCCUCAGCCCGCGUCCCCAGCAGAUCUGAGAACCCCGAACCAGCAAGCUGAAGACCAGUUGAAGCCAGCAGCUCCACUCGUCGCCGGAGCUCACCGCCGCCGCCGUCGUCCGUGCGCGAAGCUCGCGCGCCCGCGUGUCACCUCGCUGGACAGCCGUCGCGCGCUGCUCCGCCCUGCUCGCCCGGUCCCGAGCUCCUUCCCCUCCGUCUAGCCGUCGUCGCCGUCGCUAGGGUCGCCGUCAGCCUCGCCGGAGCUCCGCCUGAGCUGCCGCCCCUCUUCUCCGCCGUUCCUCCGCCCAUCCCGGCGCCGGAUCUGCUCCCUCUCGGCCCCAAGCAGAAUCUGGAAAAAUGGGUAUGGCAGCGGGUGUUUGGCUCGUUUUGGCCGCCUUCCCGAGCCCGGAUGCUCGGCCCGCUUUGAGGAAAGUUGUUCUCCUCGGCGUCCGUCGUUUUGGUCCGCUCGGUUCGCUAAUCCGGUGAGUUUAACUCACUAAACCUCGUUUAGAGGUUUAAUGAUGCUUUAAGUGUGUUUAGUUUAUAUUAAGUGUUAUUAGGUGGUUAGUUUAAUUUAUUUAAGUGUAGAUUAUAUUAAUGUGCUUGAUUAAUUUAAAUUGUGUUUAAUUUAAAGUUAAGUGGGUGUUUAUAUUAAUAUAAAUAUUGAUGUGACAUAAAGGAAUUUACUUUUGAUUUAUUUAAAUAUCCCGAAAUCAUUAAAUAAUUUAAUAAUAUAUUAUUAUUCGAAAUUAUUAAAAUAUUAUUAUUUAAUUAUUUUCGGAAUAAAUUUAAUUAUUUAUUAAAUUCCGAAAAUUUUGGUCGGGACCUUAAAUUCUCAGAAUUUCGUGCCGGUCGCUACGGUACAUUCGGAUUUUGAAAUUGAUGAUUGGAUAUUAUAAAUUGAGUGUAGAUUUCGAAAACUAUGGAUAUUAUUAUUUAAUUAUUUUCGGAAUAAAUUUAAUUAUUUAUUAAAUUUCGAAAAUUUUCAUUAGGACCUUAUUUGCUCAAAAUUUCGUGCCGAUCGUUGCUGUGCAUUUAGAAUUUGAAAUUGAUGAUUGGUUGUGAUGAAUUGAGUGUGAUUGUGAUUUAUAGGGAUUCUUUAUGAAAUCCUAAGUGUAGAAAUUGAUGGGAGAUUGGCUGUGAUUGACCACCUACUAGAGGUUGUGCCCAGUGAGGCCGUGAAAUACCACCUUGGAAAGGUCGUGCCCGAUGAGGCCGUGAUAAACCACCUACAAGAGGUCGUGCCCGAUGAGGCUGUGAAAUACCACCUAUUAGAGGUCGUGCCCAGAGAGGCCGUGAUAAACCACCUAUGAAAGGUCGUGCCCAGAGAGGCCGUGAUAAACCACCUAUGAAAGGUCGUGCCCGAUGAGGCCGUGAAAAACCACCUACAAGAGGUCGUGCCCGAUGAGGCCGUGAAUUACCACCUGAUUACAGGUCGUGCCGAGUGGGGCCGUGAUGCCACUGAUUUAAAUUUGCCGAGUAGGGCCGUAGUUAAGAGCAAUGAUUGAUUUGCUAGAAUGACAUGUAAUCAGCUGAGUUGAUUGAUCGCUGAGACGAUCCAAGUGGUUGAAUGGUUUGAUAAUGUGAUUGUGUCAUGGUUGUUUGGUUAUCAUAAUUGUACGUGGUUGGAUUAUAUAAAUUGUGCUAACCUGCAGAUGAAGGCUGAGGCGAGGUAAGUCUUCUGUGUGAUGUGGCUAGGCCACCUGGGGCGUAUUUUCUUUCUAAUAGGGGUUUAGGGGUUGAACUUGCUGAGACAUCGUCUCAUCCCGGUUGUGGGAUUAAAAUUUCAGGUCCCUGGUGGACGGAGCGGCCAGAUAGCUUUGAUUGGCCUUGAGGAGUUGCAGAGGUGAAGUCAUAAGGAUUGGAGAGCGUGUCUUGCUAGUUGGUUGUAGGAUAAUUCCCCUUUUGUCGAGCUGGUCUAUUUUGUAGAAAGUCCAGUGUUGUAUUUAAACCCUUUGUGUUUGUAAAUGAGUGUUUGAUAUUGUGAUUGAUUGCCUGCUUUUCUAUCCCAAGUUAAAUGUUGUCAGGGGAUUUGUUUCGCUUCCGCAUGCGUAAAGAAAUGAAUGGGUCGGCGACAUAUCUUGGGAUGUCGCAUUUUUCAUCGACCGUAGCGGUAUGUGCGCGCACUCGAGGUUCGGGGCGUGACAGUUGUGUGUAUUAAUUUUAUACAUGAUGUAUAUGAAUUGUGCUGACCUGUAGGAUGGAUCUGAGACGAGAUAAGUCCCUGUGAUUGUAUGAUUUUGUGGUUAGGACACUUCUAGGUGUAUUACCCUCCUAAUCGGGGUUUAGAGCGUGAACUCGCUGAGAUUUAUAUCCCAUCCCGUCGUGGGCUAAAUUUUU
Molecule: long non-coding RNA, 2624 nt
Filed under: Eucalyptus grandis
Lineage: Eukaryota; Viridiplantae; Streptophyta; Magnoliopsida; Myrtales; Myrtaceae
Description: long non-coding RNA (EGRA_LNC006210)
Source: RNAcentral